GCGGGGAGAGGGAAGGCGAAGGCGGGCUGAGCCCGGCGCCGGGAGGAGUGGUCUAAACUCCACCGCGGCUUUCGCAUCGGAGACGUGUCUUUAGGAAGCAGAGAGGGUUCGAUUCUGGACUCCGCCCAUGACUCACUUCUCUUGUAAAGAAAGAGUUGUCCUUCCUGGUACUCCAGGUUUAUGGGAUGCAGGAUAAUGGAGCAUGCUCUAUCUGGGACAUUGCUAGUCUUAUGACAGAGGGAGAAGACAGCGAUGAGUUUUCGAAGAACUCCAGGAAGUGGCUGCAGAGCAAAGUAGGAUCCUGAUACUGGUAAUUUUCUUGGCUUGUUGGAAAAAUAACUUGAUAUAUCAUUGCACA
This 358-nucleotide long non-coding RNA is filed under the name Homo sapiens (human). RNAcentral's name for it is "HSALNT0046383". Lineage: Eukaryota; Metazoa; Chordata; Mammalia; Primates; Hominidae. The record is from RNAcentral.